CGCCGCCUGCGGUGUUCGACACGGGCCGGGUUACCUCUCGACCUUAAUGUAAAUACCCCGGGGAACGGUCAGCCGGCAACAUUGUGCAAGUCCGCCUCGAGCGGGAAGCCUUAAGUGCCGCGGCCCUCCCCAAAUAUUGCUCUUGUCGAGAGCAAUGGUCUGUGACGGCACAGGCGGGUGGCGC
This 184-nucleotide non-coding RNA is filed under the name Pseudomonadota bacterium. Its description in RNAcentral is "Proteobacteria bacterium 6S RNA". It matches the Rfam family "6S / SsrS RNA". Rfam says of the family: E. coli 6S RNA was the first non coding RNA to be sequenced, but its function was unknown until recently. It consists of 184 nucleotides that fold into an extended hairpin structure with a large single-stranded internal bulge. Lineage: Bacteria; Pseudomonadati; Pseudomonadota. RNAcentral also lists the same sequence under 1 other name. The record is from RNAcentral.